RNAcentral lists this ribosomal RNA (492 nucleotides) under uncultured bacterium. RNAcentral describes it as "partial 16S ribosomal RNA". It matches the Rfam family "Bacterial small subunit ribosomal RNA", at positions 29 to 507 of the family's 1533-position model. The record is from RNAcentral.
AGUGAACGCUGGCGGUAGGCCUAACACAUGCAAGUCGAACGGCAGCACAGUAAGAGCUUGCUCUUACGGGUGGCGAGUGGCGGACGGGUGAGGAAUACAUCGGAAUCUACUUUUUCGUGGGGGAUAACGUAGGGAAACUUACGCUAAUACCGCAUACGACCUACGGGUGAAAGCAGGGGAUCUUCGGACCUUGCGCGAUUGAAUGAGCCGAUGUCGGAUUAGCUAGUUGGCGGGGUAAAGGCCCACCAAGGCGACGAUCCGUAGCUGGUCUGAGAGGAUGAUCAGACACACUGGAACUGAGACACGGUCCAGACUCCUACGGGAGGCAGCAGUGGGGAAUAUUGGACAAUGGGCGCAAGCCUGAUCCAGCCAUACCGCGUGGGUGAAGAAGGCCUUCGGGUUGUAAAGCACUUUUGUUGGGAAAGAAAAGCAGCAGGUUAAUACCCCGCUGUUCUGAAGGUACCCAAAGAAUAAGCACCGGCUAACUUCGUG